UACAUGUGGGGCAAGCGUUGUUCGGAAUUACUGGGCGUAAAGGGUGCGGAGGCGGCGGAGUAAGUUGGGUGUGAAAUCCCGGGGCUCAACCUCGGAAUUGCAUUCAAUACUGCUUCGCUUGAGUACUGGAGAGGAGGCUGGAAUUUACGGUGUAGCAGUGAAAUGCGUAGAUAUCGUAAGGAAGGCCGGUGGCGAAAGCGAGCCUCUGGACAGUUACUGACGCUGAGGAGCGAAAGCGUGGGGAGCGAACAGG
This 253-nucleotide ribosomal RNA is filed under the name uncultured bacterium. Its description in RNAcentral is "partial 16S ribosomal RNA". It matches the Rfam family "Bacterial small subunit ribosomal RNA", at positions 524 to 776 of the family's 1533-position model. The record is from RNAcentral.